Molecule: long non-coding RNA, 1699 nt
Organism: Brachypodium distachyon (stiff brome)
Lineage: Eukaryota; Viridiplantae; Streptophyta; Magnoliopsida; Poales; Poaceae
Exons: 6
Source: RefSeq, a predicted model, not a curated record
ACGGUGGCAUCUUUACCCCUAUGAAAGAGCGAAGAAAUCACCCGUGGGAUCGAUCGGCCACGUCGACGGAUAAACCUCCCGUGUAAUCAGGCGCCUACGUCGGGUGCAGUUUUUUUUCCGUUUCGGUGUGGGUUCGGUGUGCGUUCGGGUGUGUUCUGGAACCCUCCGCCUUGCUCUGCUCCCGGCCAUCGUCCUCGCCCAGCACCUGCUGUCCGGAUCCUCAACCGCCGCCGUCCCCUGGCCCUGCAGAUCUUCCUCCACAACGUCGGUGCUCGAGGCUCUAGCCCCUGGCCGGCCGCGUAGAGCGCGGAGAUAUUUCUGCCUCCAGCUCGAUGGUAGGCUUGUGAGUCACGACGACCGUUGGAAGGAGAGGCGUGUGGCGGUGGGAAGGAGACGAGCCUCGGCGCUGAUCCCCGCCGCCGUCCUUCGCGGGAUUUCAACGGCAAUGCCGCACCAAGGAAUCCGGGCGGUGACGACCUCUGACAUCCAGGUGACGGCAAGCGAUUCAGAUUAGAGAUGUAAAGGACCCGGAGCAUCCAUAUUCAUUGGAAGAACUUAAUGUGGUAAUUGAAGUAUCGAUGAUGAACUUAGUAAUGUCAGGUAAGUUGAAAUCUAUCUACUGGAACUUUGAUGCUACAGUUCAGGAUUUUUAAUGAAAUCUAUCUAUUGGAACUUUGGAUGCUACAUGUCAGGUAACACUUCAUGUCAGAUUUCACCAUGUCCCUCUAAUUUAACAUUGGAAAGCCAUACUCAUGCGAUGCUGAGCAAAUAAUAUCUCUGUCAUGUAUGUUACUCCUUGAUAGUGCAUAUUCAUUUGUCAAAGAAAGUAGAGUCUAUAAAUUUGUUUUAUUAUACUUUCACACAGCCCCAUUCCCCACCUUCACAACUGCAUCCUACUCCUUCCACCUUCCUUUCUUGAAACUCGGUAGUAUCUCAUUCUGUUGUUAAUUAACAAGUUCGAUUCGCUAUUGACAUUGCAGUAUCAGAAGAGGAAUUGCUGUAGACUGGUGUCUUCACCAAAGAAGGGGAAGGACCGCUCGAUGACCAGUCCAUCAAUGUCGGCGUGUGCAGGAAGGCGGGUUCAAAAAGGUUUAAUUAAUUUGUGGUAAUAUGAUCGUGGAUAAUAUCGGAACGCUUCUAAUGAGGAGGUUGAAAGGAAGUACUGCUCCUACAAGCCUACAUUAUGAUCAUGUAGUGAAGGCCAGUUACAAGGCACAGGUUGGCAUGUCUAACAUUCUUCUACCGGUUCACGACACUGAGAAUGUGAGCCAUGGGUACAAGUUUGAGGCAAGUGUGUGGAUCCAGUUUAAAGAGAUUAGGCACGAGAAGCUUAUAUGAAAUCUAUGUCAUUCAAUGAAGAGUACCUUCCAUGUUGCACGGGCAUGGUCAUGUAGAGGAAGGAGCACCAGAAGGCAAGGAGCGUGGCCGGAUACUGUAGUUGUUAAAUCCUUUUCUUUGUUGUUAAAUCCAAGUCCUCUAUUUAUAUAUUUAUGUUGAUGGUGGUUACUGUAGCUGUCAUGUGUCGCAUGUGCCAUACAUGUCUGAAAUUGAUGAGCAUGGAACAUAUUGACUGAUGUAUAAUCUGGCCUAUCGUCUGCUAGGAUUUGCAGUGUUCAGCGGAUUUUUUUUUAUAUUUCUGCUUAGUGAGUAGACUUUGUUCUAGGCUAUAGUUCAUUUUCAGAAAAAUAUGGUUUUGUGA